UACAGAGGGUGCGAGCGUUAAUCGGAAUUACUGGGCGUAAAGGGUGCGUAGGUUGUUAGAUAAGUUAGGUGUGAAAGUCCUGAGCUCAACUUGGGAUUGCGCCUAAUACUGUAUAACUAGAGUCCUGUAGAGGGGAGUGGAAUUUCCGGUGUAGCAGUGAAAUGCGUAGAGAUCGGAAGGAACAUCAGUGGCGAAGGCGACUUUCUGGACAGAGACUGACGCUGAGGUACGAAAGCAUGGGGAGCAAACAGG
Molecule: unclassified non-coding RNA, 252 nt
Filed under: uncultured Gammaproteobacteria bacterium
Lineage: Bacteria; Pseudomonadati; Pseudomonadota; Gammaproteobacteria
Description: contains 16S-23S intergenic spacer region
Rfam family: Bacterial small subunit ribosomal RNA
Source: RNAcentral